CAAUAGCGUAUAUUAAAGUUGUUGCGGUUAAAAAGCUCGUAGUUGGAUUUCUGCCGAGGGCGACCGGUCCGCCCUCUGGGUGAGCAUCUGUCUCGGCCUGGGCAUCCUCUUGGAGAACGUAGCUGCACUUGACUGUGCGGGGCGGUAUCCAGGACUUUUACUUUGAGGAAAUUAGAGUGUUUCAAGCAGGCAUACGCCUUGAAUACAUUAGCAUGGAAUAAUAGGAUAGGACCUCGGUUCUAUUUUGUUGGUUUCUAGAGCUGAGGUAAUGAUUAAUAGGGAUAGUUGGGAGCAUCCGAUUUAACUGUCAGAGGUGAAAUUCUUGGAAUUGUUAAAGACGGACUAAUGCGAAAGCAUUUGCCAAGGAUGUUUUCAUUGAUCAAGAACGAAAGUUAGGGAUCGAAGAUGAUCAGAUACCGU
Molecule: ribosomal RNA, 420 nt
Filed under: uncultured eukaryote
Lineage: Eukaryota
Description: SSU rRNA
Rfam family: Eukaryotic small subunit ribosomal RNA
Source: RNAcentral